AACGAACGCUGGCGGCAUGCCUAACACAUGCAAGUCGAACGAGACCUUCGGGUCUAGUGGCGCACGGGUGCGUAACGCGUGGGAACCUGCCCUUAGGUUCGGAAUAACUCCCCGAAAGGGGUGCUAAUACCGGAUAAUGUCUUCGGACCAAAGAUUUAUCGCCUUUGGAUGGGCCCGCGUUGGAUUAGCUAGUUGGUAGGGUAAAAGCCUACCAAGGCGACGAUCCAUAGCUGGUCUGAGAGGAUGAUCAGCCACACUGGGACUGAGACACGGCCCAGACUCCUACGGGAGGCAGCAGUGGGGAAUAUUGGACAAGGGGCGAAAGCCUGAUCCAGCAAUGCCGCGUGAGUGAUGAAGGCCUUAGGGUUGUAAAGCUCUUUUACCCGGGAUGAUAAUGACAGUACCGGGAGAAUAAGCUCCGGCUAACUCCGU
This 432-nucleotide ribosomal RNA is filed under the name uncultured bacterium. Its description in RNAcentral is "partial 16S ribosomal RNA". It matches the Rfam family "Bacterial small subunit ribosomal RNA", at positions 29 to 506 of the family's 1533-position model. The record is from RNAcentral.